CCUGCCCAGUGACAAUAAGUUAAACGGCCGCGGUAUUUUAACCGUGCUAAGGUAGCGUAAUCACUUGUCUUUUAAAUGAAGACCCGUAUGAAAGGUGUCACGAGGGCCCUACUGUCUCCUCCUUCCAGUCUGUGAAAUUGAUCUACCCGUGCAGAAGCGGGUAUUCUAACAUAAGNCGAGAAGACCCUGUGGAGCUUAAGAUUAUUAACCAAUCACGCCUAGACAGCCAUCAAACCAGAAAGCAAACAAGCAUANCGACAAUGGAUUAAUCAUCUUCGGUUGGGGCGACCAUGGAGGANAAAUAAGCCUCCAAGAGGAACCAGGGGGUCAAUUACACAAUACCCCUAAGAGCUAAGAGCCACAUCUCUAAGCAACAGAGAAAUCUGACCAAUAAUGACCCAGGUCCAUGACCUGAUCAACGAACCAAGUUACCCCAGGGAUAACAGCGCAAUCCUUUCCUAGAGCCCAUAUCGCCGAAAGGGUUUACGACCUCGAUGUUGGAUCAGGACAUCCUAGUGGCGAAAAUUCUACCAAGGGUUCGUU
Molecule: ribosomal RNA, 543 nt
Filed under: Gymnarchus niloticus
Lineage: Eukaryota; Metazoa; Chordata; Actinopteri; Osteoglossiformes; Gymnarchidae
Description: partial 16S ribosomal RNA
Rfam family: Bacterial large subunit ribosomal RNA
Source: RNAcentral